UAGAGUUUGAUCCUGGCUCAGAUUGAACGCUGGCGGCAUGCCUUACACAUGCAAGUCGAACGGCAGCACGGGAGCAAUCCUGGUGGCGAGUGGCGAACGGGUGAGUAAUACAUCGGAACGUGCCCUGUCGUGGGGGAUAACUAGUCGAAAGAUUAGCUAAUACCGCAUACGACCUGAGGGUGAAAGCGGGGGACCGUAAGGCCUCGCGCGAUAGGAGCGGCCGAUGUCUGAUUAGCUAGUUGGUGAGGUAAGAGCUCACCAAGGCGACGAUCAGUAGCUGGUCUGAGAGGACGAUCAGCCACACUGGGACUGAGACACGGCCCAGACUCCUACGGGAGGCAGCAGUGGGGAAUUUUGGACAAUGGGGGCAACCCUGAUCCAGCAAUGCCGCGUGUGUGAAGAAGGCCUUCGGGUUGUAAAGCACUUUUGUCCGGAAAGAAAUCCCCUGGGCUAAUACNCGGGGGGAUGACGGUACCGGAAGAAUAAGCACCGGCUAACUAC
Molecule: ribosomal RNA, 501 nt
Filed under: bacterium PT07
Lineage: Bacteria
Description: bacterial SSU rRNA
Rfam family: Bacterial small subunit ribosomal RNA
Source: RNAcentral